AUUACCUUAGUUUGCAUAUUAACGUAUCAGGCAAGAUCGUAUGAAUUUUCUAUUUUCCAAAAAGAUAGAGUAGGCGUUUUUGCUGAGUGACCUUCUUCUUCUUCCUCCAAAUCGUAUACACAUUAAUCCCGCUCUCUACUGCUUCUGCGUUUUGAGAUUCGAAAAAUGGAGGAGGAAAGUUCCAAUUGCAUCGACAACGAGAGGGAUCUCAUCCGCAACAUCUGCAUCCUAGCGCACGUCGACCACGGCAAGACCACCCUCGCCGACCACCUCAUCGCCGCCGCGGGCGGCGGCGUCGUCCACCCAAAGCUCGCCGGCCGCGUCCGCUUCAUGGACUACCUGGACGAGGAGCAGCGCCGCGCCAUCACGAUGAAGAGCUCCUCCAUCCUCCUCCGCUAUGCCGGCCGCUACGCGGUGAACCUCAUCGACUCCCCCGGCCACAUCGACUUCUGCAGCGAGGUCUCCACCGCCGCCCGACUCAGCGACGGCGCCCUCCUCCUCGUCGACGCCGUCGAAGGCGUCCACAUCCAGACCCACGCCGUCCUCCGCCAGUGCUGGAUCGAGCGCCUCACCCCCUGCCUCGUCCUCAACAAACUCGACCGCUUAAUCACCGAGCUCAAACUUACCCCCUCUGAGGCCUACACGCGCCUCUUACGAAUCGUUCACGAGGUCAACGGAAUAGUCAGCGCUUAUAAAUCCGAAAAGUAUCUCACCGACGUGGAUUCCCUCCUCGCCGGAACCGGCAACGGCACCACCACCGGCGAGACCCUCGAGGACUACGAUGAUAACGAGGAUGUUUUUCAGCCGCAGAAAGGUAAUGUUAUAUUCGCAUGCGCUUUAGAUGGUUGGGGAUUUGGGAUUCGUGAGUUUGCGGAGAUUUAUGCUUCUAAGCUUGGGGCGAGUGUGAAUGCCUUGCUGAGGGCGUUGUGGGGACAGAGGUAUUAUAACCCUAAGACGAAGAUGAUUGUUGGGAAGAAAGGGGUUGGGGGGAAUAAGAAGCCUAUGUUUGUUCAGUUUGUGUUGGAGCCCUUGUGGCAGGUGUAUCAGGGGGCCUUGGAAGGGGAUAAGGGGCUGGUGGAGAAGGUUAUUAGGACCUUUAGUUUGUCGGUGCCGCAGCGGGAGCUGCAGAACAAGGAUGUCAAGGUUGUGCUGCAGGCGGUUAUGAGCCGCUGGCUUCCGCUUUCGGAGGCGGUUUUGUCCAUGGUGGUUAGGUGUUUGCCGGACCCGGUGACGGCGCAGGCAUUUAGGAUAUCCAGGUUGAUUCCCAAGAAGGAGGUUAUUGGGGAUGUGGAGGGGGUUGAGGGUUUGGUGGAGGAGGCGGAGUUGGCGAGGAAUUCGGUGGAGGAGUGUGAUUGUCGGGACGAGGCUCCUUGUGUGGCUUUUGUGUCCAAGAUGUUUGCUGUUCCGGUUAAGAUGCUGCCUGGACACAGGGUGGAGGUUGGCAAUGGUUAUGGUGAUGAAGGAGAGAGUGAGUCGGAUGAGUGUUUUUUGGCGUUUGCUAGGAUUUUUAGUGGGGUUUUGCAUGCUGGGCAGAGAAUUUUUGUGCUUUCUGCAUUGUAUGAUCCGGUGAAAGGGGAGUCGAUGCAGAAGCAUAUUCAGGAGGCUGAGUUGAAAUCCCUGUAUUUGAUGAUGGGGCAAGGGUUGAAAGUAGUGACAUCUGCCAGGGCUGGGAAUAUUGUUGCCAUUGCAGGCCUUGGGCAGCAUAUAUUGAAGAGUGCUACUCUUUCUUCUACUAAGAACUGUUGGCCUUUUUCGAGUAUGGCAUUCCAAGUUGCUCCAACUUUGAGAGUUGCAAUUGAGCCGUCUGAUCCUGCUGAUGUGGGUGCAUUGCUCAAAGGCUUGAGGCUUUUGAAUCGAGCAGAUCCGUUUGUUGAGGUCACCGUGUCUGGAAGGGGAGAGCAUGUUCUUGCUGCUGCUGGGGAAGUUCAUCUUGAGAGAUGCAUAAAGGAUUUAAAGGAGAGGUUUGCCAAGGUAAGCUUGGAGGUCUCUCCGCCUCUCGUGUCCUACAAAGAAACCAUUGAGGGAGACGUAUUGAACGUGAUGGAAAAUUUGAAAGUUCUUAGCAGGAGAUCAUCAGAUUAUGUUGAAAAAACAACACCCAAUGGAAGAUGUGUUGUUCGGGUGCAGGUGAUGAAACUUCUACCUUCUUUGACGAAGGUGCUCGAUGAAAGCUCUGAUUUACUUGGAGAUAUUAUUGGAGUAAAGUCGGGGCAAAGACCGAGUAUUCUUGAAAACGAUAACCCAGUUGAAGUGCUAAAAAAACGCAUAUUGGAUGCAGUGGAGGGUGAUAUUUUGAGCAGGAAUGAAAAUGACAAGGACCAUGCUGAGAAAUGUAAAUUGAAGUGGCUAAAGAUUUUGAGGAGGAUAUGGGCACUUGGACCAAGGCAAAUUGGUCCGAACCUUCUCUUUACUCCUGAUAUUAAAGCACAAAGCACCAAUAGCUCUGUCUUAAUACGUGGUUCUCCUCGCAUAUCAGAAAGGUUGGGCUUUGUGGCCGAUUCUAGUAUCAAUGACUCAGUUGAUGAGACGUCUUCAAAUGCAAACUCAGCUUUAUACAUGGAUGCCGAGCACCUUGAGAGUAGUGUUAUAUCUGGUUUCCAAUUGGCCACUUCAGCUGGACCCUUGUGUGAUGAACCUAUGUGGGGUUUGGCAUUUGUCGUUGAGGCACGGUUAUCUCCAUUUCCAGGACAGCAUGAUGAAUCUGAAACGCACCAACAAUCGGAGCAGUACGGCAUAUUUGCAGGGCAGGUAAUUGCAACUGUCAAAGAUGCUUGUAGAGCAGCUGUGGUUCAGAAUAAACCACGGCUGGUGGAAGCAAUGUAUUUUUGUGAAUUGAAUACACCUACUGAAUAUUUGGGUCCCAUGUAUGCUGUACUUUCCCGAAGACGGGCCCGAGUAUUGAAGGAAGAGAUGCAAGAAGGUUCCCCUUUCUUCACUGUGCAUGCGUAUCUUCCUGUUUCUGAGAGCUUUGGUUUUGCGGAUGAGCUUAGAAGGUGGACUUCUGGUGCCGCAAGUGCACUUCUUGUCCUUAGCCACUGGGAAGCACUUCCUGAGGAUCCUUUCUUUGUACCUAAAACGGAAGAGGAAAUUGAAGAGUUUGGAGAUGGUUCUAGUGUUCUUCCAAAUACGGCAAGAAAAUUGAUUAAUGCAGUCAGACGGCGUAAGGGCCUUCCUGUGGAGGAAAAGGUAGUGCAGCAUGGAACAAAGCAGAGGACACUGGCUCGUAAAGUCUGAUACUUUUCAUUCCUUAGCUGUGAAGAGAACAUGUAGUUGUUGAAUGUGUUUGUAGGUCAUACUUCAUUUAUUGUACCAUUAGGAACAAUUUUUCAGCAUGAGUUUAUUUUUAUAUAGCUUCACCAAAGUUUGAAAUUAUAUUUUGAGUAAUCUAUAUUGUCUCAUUUCAA
Glycine soja is the source of this 3404-nucleotide RNA transcript. It is a transcript of the gene named elongation factor-like GTPase 1 pseudogene, with no coding region annotated. NCBI's taxonomy places the organism in Eukaryota, Viridiplantae, Streptophyta, Magnoliopsida, Fabales, Fabaceae. The transcript has a single exon. The record is from RefSeq and is a predicted model, not a curated record.